AUUGAACGCUGGCGGCAGGCCUAACACAUGCAAGUCGAGCGGAUGAAGGGAGCUUGCUCCUGGAUUCAGCGGCGGACGGGUGAGUAAUGCCUAGGAAUCUGCCUGGUAGUGGGGGAUAACGUCCGGAAACGGGCGCUAAUACCGCAUACGUCCUGAGGGAGAAAGUGGGGGAUCUUCGGACCUCACGCUAUCAGAUGAGCCUAGGUCGGAUUAGCUAGUUGGUGGGGUAAAGGCCUACCAAGGCGACGAUCCGUAACUGGUCUGAGAGGAUGAUCAGUCACACUGGAACUGAGACACGGUCCAGACUCCUACGGGAGGCAGCAGUAGGGAAUAUUGGACAAUGGGCGAAAGCCUGAUCCAGCCAUGCCGCGUGUGUGAAGAAGGUCUUCGGAUUGUAAAGCACUUUUAGUUGGGAGGAAGGGCAGUAAGUUAAUACCUUGCUGUUUUGACGUUACCAACAGAAUAAGCACCGGCUAACUUCGUG
This 484-nucleotide ribosomal RNA is filed under the name uncultured bacterium. RNAcentral describes it as "partial 16S ribosomal RNA". It matches the Rfam family "Bacterial small subunit ribosomal RNA", at positions 30 to 507 of the family's 1533-position model. The record is from RNAcentral.